RNAcentral lists this ribosomal RNA (1373 nucleotides) under uncultured bacterium. RNAcentral describes it as "bacterial SSU rRNA". It matches the Rfam family "Bacterial small subunit ribosomal RNA", at positions 28 to 1381 of the family's 1533-position model. The record is from RNAcentral.
GAUGAACGCUGGCGGCGUGCCUAAUACAUGCAAGUCGAGCGAACAGAUAAGGAGCUUGCUCCUUUGACGUUAGCGGCGGACGGGUGAGUAACACGUGGAUAACCUACCUAUAAGACUGGGAUAACUUCGGGAAACCGGAGCUAAUACCGGAUAACAUAUUGAACCGCAUGGUUCAAUAGUGAAAGGCGGCUUUGCUGUCACUUAUAGAUGGAUCCGCGCCGUAUUAGCUAGUUGGUAAGGUAACGGCUUACCAAGGCAACGAUACGUAGCCGACCUGAGAGGGUGAUCGGCCACACUGGAACUGAGACACGGUCCAGACUCCUACGGGAGGCAGCAGUAGGGAAUCUUCCGCAAUGGGCGAAAGCCUGACGGAGCAACGCCGCGUGAGUGAUGAAGGUCUUCGGAUCGUAAAACUCUGUUAUCAGGGAAGAACAAAUGUGUAAGUAACUGUGCACAUCUUGACGGUACCUGAUCAGAAAGCCACGGCUAACUACGUGCCAGCAGCCGCGGUAAUACGUAGGUGGCAAGCGUUAUCCGGAAUUAUUGGGCGUAAAGCGCGCGUAGGCGGUUUUUUAAGUCUGAUGUGAAAGCCCACGGCUCAACCGUGGAGGGUCAUUGGAAACUGGAAAACUUGAGUGCAGAAGAGGAGAGUGGAAUUCCAUGUGUAGCGGUGAAAUGCGCAGAGAUAUGGAGGAACACCAGUGGCGAAGGCGACUUGUCUGGUCUGUAACUGACGCUGAUGUGCGAAAGCGUGGGGAUCAAACAGGAUUAGAUACCCUGGUAGUCCACGCCGUAAACGAUGAGUGCUAAGUGUUAGGGGGUUUCCGCCCCUUAGUGCUGCAGCUAACGCAUUAAGCACUCCGCCUGGGGAGUACGACCGCAAGGUUGAAACUCAAAGGAAUUGACGGGGACCCGCACAAGCGGUGGAGCAUGUGGUUUAAUUCGAAGCAACGCGAAGAACCUUACCAAAUCUUGACAUCCUUUGACCGCUCUAGAGAUAGAGUCUUCCCCUUCGGGGGACAAAGUGACAGGUGGUGCAUGGUUGUCGUCAGCUCGUGUCGUGAGAUGUUGGGUUAAGUCCCGCAACGAGCGCAACCCUUAAGCUUAGUUGCCAUCAUUAAGUUGGGCACUCUAAGUUGACUGCCGGUGACAAACCGGAGGAAGGUGGGGAUGACGUCAAAUCAUCAUGCCCCUUAUGAUUUGGGCUACACACGUGCUACAAUGGACAAUACAAAGGGCAGCUAAACCGCGAGGUCAAGCAAAUCCCAUAAAGUUGUUCUCAGUUCGGAUUGUAGUCUGCAACUCGACUACAUGAAGCUGGAAUCGCUAGUAAUCGUAGAUCAGCAUGCUACGGUGAAUACGUUCCCGGGUCU